UAGUACAAGGUAAAAUAAUUAGCAUCUCAUUAAUUAAUUAGUCUCAAGUCGAAUAACUAACAAGCAAAUCUUUACUAAGUAUUGGUCUAGUGUUGAGAAGAAGGGUGGUUAUUCCCACCAACCGUGUUUGAUUAAUCCCAUUACAUAUAUACACAUGGGCUUUAAAGUUUCAAAACCAGUGCAUGUGCCAUAAAAUUCUAAGCGUAGUGGACACACACGCAUGUGUGUAUCAUGUGAUGUGAAUUCCACAUGAUGACAAACACCAAUAUAAUACACAUCAUUGUAGGGUUGCCUUGUGGCUAUGAGAUGCAUGUAGGUGCAGUAUGCCAUAUCUCAAAUAGAGCGCAUGCAAGUCUUAGAUCAUCAGCAAGUUUUGUGAGGUAAACAUACACGGAGAAUAUGGCAACCAAUAGUCGUAAGAGUGUGAUUAUGGGAGUAGUCAUAACAGUUCUUGUCAUACAGCAGGCCUAGGUAGAAGCCAAGAGCUGUUGUUGUUCCAUCUCGGGAAGAAACUGCUAUAACGCAUGCCGUGUCACGGGUGCCUCUCGCAAAACAUGUGCAAGGUUGUGUGGUUGCAAAAUUCUUGACAAGUGUGUGAGUCCUUGUGAUCGCUUCAAUCUUUACCCGGAAGCAGACGAAGCAAAAGUCAUUGAGUAUUGCAAGUUGGGAUGCAUGUCCUCCGUCUGCAACACCACAAACACUUUCAUCGUCGGUGAACAAGAGAAAGAUGUCAUAGAGAAU
Triticum aestivum (bread wheat) is the source of this 741-nucleotide long non-coding RNA. RefSeq lists it as uncharacterized. Lineage: Eukaryota; Viridiplantae; Streptophyta; Magnoliopsida; Poales; Poaceae. The record is from RefSeq and is a predicted model, not a curated record. The transcript has 3 exons.